RNA transcript from Thalassophryne amazonica, 1135 nucleotides. It is a transcript of the gene named protein phosphatase 1, regulatory subunit 32, with no coding region annotated. NCBI's taxonomy places the organism in Eukaryota, Metazoa, Chordata, Actinopteri, Batrachoidiformes, Batrachoididae. The transcript has 10 exons. The record is from RefSeq and is a predicted model, not a curated record.
UCUGCAGCUAUUCUUGAGCUGUAAUCUUAUGCCCCUGUGUAGAAUCUCCUAGCAACAGUCAUCUGUUUACAGGCAAAUCAGCAGAAGGUGAACAAACAACCUGGAGUUACAGCGCUGCGUCUCCUAAGGAUUUUUUCUGUCCAUCACCGCUGUCAGUGACAGUUUCUGUUGCAGCAGCUACAGAUGGCUGAGCAGCAGAGGAUAGUCAAGUGGACUGUUGGAGCACCAGACAGCAGGAGGCGAAUGACCAGCAACCCCAUCAAACUGUACAACACUACGUAUGAGGCUUCGUAUGAUUCAUCUUUCCUCGUAACAGUGGAACGCAAUCCUUGUUGAACUUCAAACCAGCUCUGUAUAGGCCCAGUUUCAGCCACACAGGCAAACCUUCACUGAGACACCUAUUAUUGGACAGUUUCACAUCCCAAACCAAGCGGGAUUAUCGGCCUCGUGAUGGUGGCUUAUGUCAGAUGAGGACUUUCCCUAAAAUAGAUAUGUCUUUUGUGCCCCACCAUCCCGUGACAACAGCUUCUCAAAGCCAUUUGACUGUGGGUCAAAGAGGAGAGUGUGGUUUCACUGAGGGAGCUGACCUUCAUCUAAUGACAUUUCAAGAGAACAAGAGCAACAUGGUUGGACUUCGCCCGACAGGAAAGUCAGUCAUGAAGACUGAUUUCUUGCCGCCAUCACAACUACGGGUUGGCCAAAAGCAGUUUCCUUUUGAGCUUUAAUUGUUAUUAAUGCAAGUAUAAAUGCAAUUUUUAUCUCAUUUAAAAUCUUACGUGUCUUUUUGUGCUUGUGUUGGAGGGGGUAGAGAAAUUUCACGGUAUUUCCAAUCGUGUUUUUCAAGAAUCAGGAUUCACUCAUGAUUAAGAAAAGUGCACCAACAGAAGUCUUCAUUGGAAAAAAGGAACCCUCCGGAUUUGUUCUCAGUACUCCAACCCCACAAGUUUUCCCAAAUACACCAUUCAGAUACUUGGAUUUCAUUACAAAUUAUCAGCACGACUUCUGCCAUCAAGCUGAUGUUACAGCACAGAGAUUUGGGGUCGCCGGUGCAGGCGUCAUCGCAACCAAAAAUGAAAGUGGCUAUAGUCGUCACAACAUGGACAGGUACAUGCACUAAAACUCAUAUGGUUCCAUC